GGGAAUGUGGCUUAGUGGUAGAGUACUUGCCUAGCACACAUGAAGCCCUGGGUUCGAUUCCUCAGUACCA
This 70-nucleotide transfer RNA is filed under the name Dipodomys ordii (Ord's kangaroo rat). It matches the Rfam family "tRNA". From Rfam's summary of the family: Transfer RNA (tRNA) molecules are approximately 80 nucleotides in length. Their secondary structure includes four short double-helical elements and three loops (D, anti-codon, and T loops). The record is from Rfam by way of RNAcentral. Lineage: Eukaryota; Metazoa; Chordata; Mammalia; Rodentia; Heteromyidae.